This 1895-nucleotide long non-coding RNA is filed under the name Macaca mulatta (Rhesus monkey). Its description in RNAcentral is "lncRNA (ENSMMUG00000050128.1)". The record is from RNAcentral. Lineage: Eukaryota; Metazoa; Chordata; Mammalia; Primates; Cercopithecidae.
CAGGCUACUCCUGAGUCAAUGGUCUUCGUCCUAGUCAAUUCAGGGCUUUACUGAUUAAUUCUGGGCUCCUCCUUUUCCUCAGAUGGUAUCUCAGUUUGGACAUGAAGAGAAGACCGCUGCUGUGUCCACGCAUGGAGAAGAAUUCCUGGCCCUCCCUGGUCGUCUGUCCACUAGGGCAUCUGCCUCUGCGUUCUUGUGCCCUGGUUUCUGACUGCAGAACCACUAAAAUCCUGGCUUCUUUCCUCAACAUCCUGGAGAGGCAACAUCUAAUGCAGGUUUUCUGGUUGGUCUUACCAGCAAUCACCAAGAGAUCAUUGAGUGGCUUUGGCUCUAGGAUCAUGGAGUUCUCCACUGGAUUUUCAGCAUUUGACCAACAGAAAGAGAAAGGAACACUCAUGAGAAGUUUUCCUAAACCAAGACUUCUUCCCACAUUUCAUUGUCCGUAUCUCAGCCACAUGGCCACAUCUAAGUACAAGGGAGGCUGGGAAAUGUAGAUUAGCUGUGUUUCUGAUGGGAAAAGAAACAGACCUUCAUAAUUUUUUUUUUUUUUUUUUUUUGACAGGAUCUCGCUCUGUCACCCAGGCUGAAGUGCAGUUGCAUGAUCUUGGCUUACUGCAAUCUCCACCUCAUGGGCUCAAGUGAUUCUUGUGUCUCAGCCAGCCACCGAAGUAGCUGGACUCACAGGCACACCUGGCUAAUUUUUGAAUUUUUUAGUAGAGGUGGGGUUUUAUCAUGUUGUCCUGUCUGGUCUUGAACUCCUGACCUCAAGUGAUCCACCCGCCUUGGCACCCCAAAGUGCUGGGAUUAUAGGAGUGAGCCACCAUGCUGGGCCCAGAUUAGCUGUUAUGUUAGAAACAAUUCAUUAUAAAUAACCAGACAGAAAUCUGCUGUGCUGUGAAUCACCAUUAAAUACCAAUUAAAAUGAGCGAAUAAACUUCUAUAAGUUAAAGUAUUUCACUGAGUUUUUCAUUCCAGUCGCUGAUCUAAAUUGGUGAUCAUUUCCAGGUUUCUCCAUAGCUGGAUGCUGUCAAUGUCUUGUCCAAUUUUAGCUGCAACCUGGGAUGAUGACCAUUUUUACUUUUUUUUAUCCUCGUUACAGAAAAAUUCUAACAUCUAAAAUGAUCAAAUGUAUUUAAUUGUUUGCUAACACCAAAAUGUAAAUUUAUGGAAGAAAUCAAGAAAUGAUAAGUGUAAAUUUUACUACACUCUCUGCUGAAUGAGGCUGGUGGUGUGAGCAAAUGCAUUUAAGAAUGUCACCAAACUUUAGCUGUGAGUGGUGGCCCUGUAGUCCCAUCUACUAGGAAACCUGAGGCAGGAGAAUGGCUUGAACCCUGGAGGUUGAGGCUUCAGUGAGCUGUGUUGGAGCCACUGCAUGGUAACAGAGAGAGAGAGAGAGAGAGGCCCUGUCUCUGAAAACAAAACAAAACAAAACAAACAAACAAACAAACACAAACAAAAAAACAAAGUAAGAAUUUCACCAAACUUUAUAGUGAUAGUAACAUUUAUUGAGAGCAAUUGAUGUGCCAAGCAUUGUUCUAAGCAUGUAUAAACUCUUUUAGCGCACAUUAUGUAAAUAAACUCACGACAAUCCUGUGAGGUGGAUAUUAUUGUUAUUACAAUUUUAUAGAUGAGAAAAGUAUGUAUUUCAACUUUCAGUGAACAGCAGAUUCUCAGUCAACACUGGAUUCUCUGGCAACACCAAAUCUGGAAUAUCCUUUCAUUCUGUAAGCUGCUGCAGAUCCUCCUAAACCCUCGGUUAUUUAUAUUCUGAAACGCCCGUUCAUUUCGUUGCCCACUGCUUCUGAUUCCCAACGCACCCCUCACCCAAGCCCCCAAUCUCUUUCCACGAACUGGUAGAAUGACUACCUUAGCUUGUUAACAGUCGAAUAACAGCA